AGGUCUCUCUAGUUCAUGCUGGCCUUCAACUUACUAUGUAGCCCAGGCUGGCCUUGAACUCAUGGCAAUCCUCUUGCCUCAACCUCCCCAGUGCUAGAAUUAGAGACUGCUCUACUGUACCUAUGUUUUUUUUAAAAACAAGGAUGCUAUAUUAUGAAUUGUGUAAUCCUAUUUUGUGAAGUUCAAGAAAAUCACCUCUCACCCUCACACUCUCUCUUGCCCAUAUACGUGAUCCUGAUAGAAUAAACAAAUUCCUCAAAUUACAAAAACACUUAAUUUUUUUUUCCUCUUAGGCUUUAAAAAUGGUUAGCAAUGGUUCUCCUGGAGGUGGGAUUGUAGGACUUAAGGAGACAGUGAGGGAUAAGGAGGGGUUUUCACUUUUUAUCUAAUUCUCUAGUAUUUGAAAUCAUUUUUGUCCUUGUUGACACUUUGCAGCUUAAAACAUAAAGACUUUGAAGAGGAGCCUGACUGUGUGCGGUGCUGCAGACCAGCUUCUUUGCCAGGGAAGAUGCAGUGGGGCAACCUCGGCCGCUGAGCUGGUCGGCCUCCAGGCCUGCCAUCCAGGGUGCUGGUUCCUGGUCCUGGGCCUGCGGCUUGUGUGCACAGGUUCCUUUCCCAGGGUUCAGCUGAGCUGCCUGCAGCAGGAGCUUGGAUUUAGAGUUCUCAUCUGGUCACAGAUCUCAGUCGUGCUCCCUUAUCCCUAUGCCUCAGUCUCCUAGCAGAUGAUGGGAACAACAAUUGAUCACCCUUCUCUAGUAGGACGUUUGCGACAAGGAUGGAUUUUGAAAGUACAGAACUUUCACAGGAAAGGUCCAUCCCCUGGUCCCCUGCGUCAUCCCGAGGAAGAGCCUUCCAGCAAAUACAUCACAUUGGAGCUAAUUCAGCCCAGCUCAGCUGUCUGGUGGAAGGAUCCAAGGUGCCAGCGGCCCAGGAUGGAACAACUCAGUUGCAGGCGGGGAAAGACUGUGGAGGCGCGCCCCCUGGCGGCAGUGGCAAACAACGUUCUGGGGGAUUUCCAGAUGUCUAUCCACCUGCCCUUGAUCUUGACUUGUUCCUCCUAAUCCUAGACUGAAUGCACAAUCUCUUUUCUCUCCAUGUCGCCGCUCAGUCAACUUUAAGAUGUUAUUUAAAGGACAAGUGUGUCACAUAAAGCACUUCCUGUCCCCAGAAUUUUUUUCACUGGUGAAAUUUUCUCAUCUUUGUGUUACCUAGCCAUAUUGCCUUUAGGAAUCUAAAUAAUUUGUUUCAAAUUAUACUUGAGGUAGACAGGACUCAUCUACAGCGCUUCCUCUCUGACAGUUUCCAUCCUUACUACUCAAAAUGUUCUUCCAGAACCAAUAGGGAUCAACAGAUAGCAGCCUUAUGAGAGGACCUGUGAGAAAUGCAGAAUCCCAGGUACAACAUAGACCUACUAAAUCAGCAUCUUCAUUUUUUCAAAAACCUCCAUAUUCCUAGCCGUGCUGGAGAUGGAGAAGCAUGGGGUUGGUUGGUACUUCCUCACAGAUGAGAUGACUCAGGCUUCAUAGCUCUUAGCUCAUUUUGUCUUAGAACAAAAUACCUGAGGCUAAGCAACUUACAAAGUAAAGAAGUUUAUUUGGCUCACAAUUUUGUUGGCUGGAGGGUCUUAACAGCACAGUGCCAUCCUAGUGAGGGUCUACUGAAUGCAUCACAACAUGCCUGGGUACAAAACAAAAACUGGGAGUGGGGCGUCCUUUUUAACAGUCUGCCUUGCGGUACUAAUCUAGCUGUUCAAGAGUGAGAACUCUGGGAAUAAUCCACUGUGAACUAAUUACCUCCAUCUUAAAAGUUCCUCCACCUCAGAACCAUCACACGGGACCAGGCCCCCAGCAUAUGAACCUCUGGACACACUCCAGUGAUACCUAAACCAGAGCAUCCAUCAGCCGCAUUUAGGUCCAGCUACAUUUUAC
Molecule: long non-coding RNA, 1928 nt
Organism: Cavia porcellus (domestic guinea pig)
Lineage: Eukaryota; Metazoa; Chordata; Mammalia; Rodentia; Caviidae
Source: Ensembl